This 1985-nucleotide ribosomal RNA is filed under the name human metagenome. Its description in RNAcentral is "bacterial LSU rRNA". It matches the Rfam family "Bacterial large subunit ribosomal RNA", at positions 3 to 1978 of the family's 2925-position model. The record is from RNAcentral.
UCAAGCAAGAAGAGGUUUGCGGCGGAUGCCUGGGAGCUGUCCGGCGAAGAAGGCCGCGGUAAGCUGCGAAAAGCUGCGGGGAGGAGCACACAUCCUGAGAUCCGCAGAUAGCCGAAUGGGGUAACCCGUAUGCCGCAAGGCAUACACCGCGCGCGGGAAGAAGAUACUGCGGCGGAGCGAUACUGCGUGAAGUGAACCAUCUAAGUAACGCGGGAAGAGAAAUCAAAAGAGAUUGCGCAAGUAGCGGCGAGCGAACGCGCAGGAGCCUAAACCCUUAUGUAGGGUGUUGCAGGGCCGCACGGGGAUGACCCGUGGAGUUGGGAAAAAACCGAUAUGUAGCGGAAGCGUCUGGAAAGGCGCGCGAGACAGCGUGAAAGCCGCGUAUGCGAAAGAUAUCGGACUCCAUGGUGCGGUACCUAAGUAGGGCGGGGCACGAGAAACCCUGUUUGAAUCCGGGUCGACCACGAUCCAAGGCUAAAUACGAGACAGCUACCGACAGCGAAGAGUACCGUGAGGGAACGGCGAAAAGAACCCCGGUGAGGGGAGUGAAAGAGAACCUGAAACCGCAAACCGACAAGAUGUCACGGCGCGCGAGCGUUGUGGCGUGUCUUUUGUAGAAUAAACCUGCGAGUUGCGAUGCGCGGCGAGGCUAAGGGUUGGGAGAUCCGGAGCCGGAGCGAAAGCGAGUGUGAAAAGUGCGAAAAGUCGCGUGUCGCAGACCCGAAGCCAAGGUGAUCUAAUUAUGGGCAGGCUGAAGGCAGGGUGAAACCUGUUGGAGGGCCGAACAGUAAUCUGUUAAAAAAGGUAGUGAUGACUUGUGACUAGGAGUGAAAGGCUAAACAAACCUGGAAAUAGCUGGCUCUCCCCGAAAUGCCUUUAGGGACAGCCUCAUGCAAAGCGGAAGGAGGUAAAGCACCGGAUGGGAUAGGGGGCGUCACAGUCUACCGACACCAAUCGAACUCAGAAUGCCAUCCGCCAACGCAUGGGAGUGAGACUGUGUGCUCCAAGGUUCAUAGUCGAGAGGGAAACAGCCCGGACCGACGGCAAAGGUCCCGAAAUAACGCUCAGUGUGAAAUGAGGUGCGUCUGCACAGACAGCCAGGAGGUUGGCUUAGAAGCAGCCAUUCCUUAAAAGAGUGCGUAACAGCUCACUGGUCGAGCAGGCGUGCGCAGACAAUGUAACGGGGCUAAGCGUUAUACCGAAGCCGCGGGUCCGCAUCUAGUGAUGCGGGCGGUAGGGGAGCAUUGCGCUAACCGAAGAAGGCGUACCUGUGAGGGGCGCUGGAGGAAGCGGAAGAGAGAAUGCAGGCACAAGUAACGAAAAGACGGGUGAGAUUCCCGUCCGCCGAAAGCCUGAGGAUUCCCGGGUAAAGGCAAUCUGCCCGGGGUAAGUCGGCCCCUAAGGCGAGGACGAAAGUCGUAGUCGAUGGGAAAUCGGUUCAAAAUCCGAUACCCGGCUCAGUUUUGAAGGCAGGACGCAUGAGGUGAAAUCCGGCAGGAGAACGGUAGAUUCUGUCCAAGCGGUAAGGUGUUGAGAGGGCGGUUAAAAGAGCCCUUGAGCUGAGCCGUUACGGGGAGCGGAGCGCAGGCGAAGCGAAGCGGAUGUAAUCAAGGUGCCGGGAAAUACUGUCUAAAGCUAGGCUGAGUCGGACCGUACCGGAAACGGACACACGCAGGCAGGAUGAGUAAUCUAAGGCGCACGAGCGACCCCGCGUUAAGGAACUCGGCAAAAAGCACACGUAACUUCGGAAGAAGUGUGGCUCACGCUGAUAAGGAUGUGAGCGGCAGAAAGCAGGCCCAGGCGACUGUUUACCAAAAACACAGCCAUCUGCGAACCGGCAACGGGACGUAUAGGUGGUGACACCUGCCCGGUACCGGAAGGUUAAGGGGAGGGGUUAGCAGGAAUGCGAAGCUCCGAACCGAAGCCCCGGCAAACGGCGGCCGUAACUAUAACGGUCCUAAGGUAGCGAAAUUCCUUGUCGGGUA